GACGUAGGGCGCGAGCGUUGUCCGGAUUUAUUGGGCGUAAAGAGCUCGUAGGCGGCUUGUCGCGUCUGCUGUGAAAGACCGGGGCUCAACUCCGGUUCUGCAGUGGGUACGGGCAGACUAGAGUGAUGUAGGGGAGACUGGAAUUCCUGGUGUAGCGGUGAAAUGCGCAGAUAUCAGGAGGAACACCGAUGGCGAAGGCAGGUCUCUGGGCAUUAACUGACGCUGAGGAGCGAAAGCGUGGGGAGCGAACAGG
This 253-nucleotide ribosomal RNA is filed under the name uncultured bacterium. RNAcentral's name for it is "partial 16S ribosomal RNA". It matches the Rfam family "Bacterial small subunit ribosomal RNA", at positions 524 to 776 of the family's 1533-position model. The record is from RNAcentral.